RNAcentral lists this ribosomal RNA (723 nucleotides) under uncultured bacterium. RNAcentral describes it as "bacterial SSU rRNA". It matches the Rfam family "Bacterial small subunit ribosomal RNA", at positions 102 to 841 of the family's 1533-position model. The record is from RNAcentral.
ACGGGUGAGUAACGCGUGAGUAACCUGCCUUCAAGAGGGGGAUAACAUUCUGAAAAGAAUGCUAAUACCGCAUGACAUAUCGGAAUCACAUGAUUUUGAUAUCAAAGAUUUUAUCGCUUGAAGAUGGACUCGCGUCCGAUUAGUUAGUUGGUGAGGUAACGGCUCACCAAGACCGCGAUCGGUAGCCGGACUGAGAGGUUGAACGGCCACAUUGGGACUGAGACACGGCCCAGACUCCUACGGGAGGCAGCAGUGGGGGAUAUUGCGCAAUGGGGGCAACCCUGACGCAGCAACGCCGCGUGAAGGAUGAAGGUUUUCGGAUUGUAAACUUCUUUUAUUAAGGACGAAAAAUGACGGUACUUAAUGAAUAAGCUCCGGCUAACUACGUGCCAGCAGCCGCGGUAAUACGUAGGGAGCAAGCGUUGUCCGGAUUUACUGGGUGUAAAGGGUGCGUAGGCGGCUUUGCAAGUCAGAUGUGAAAUCUAUGGGCUCAACCCAUAAACUGCAUUUGAAACUGUAGAGCUUGAGUGAAGUAGAGGCAGGCGGAAUUCCCCGUGUAGCGGUGAAAUGCGUAGAGAUGGGGAGGAACACCAGUGGCGAAGGCGGCCUGCUGGGCUUUAACUGACGCUGAGGCACGAAAGCGUGGGUAGCAAACAGGAUUAGAUACCCUGGUAGUCCACGCUGUAAACGAUGAUUACUAGGUGUGGGGGGUCUGACCCCUUC